RNAcentral lists this transfer RNA (72 nucleotides) under Diaphus luetkeni. RNAcentral describes it as "tRNA-Gln". It matches the Rfam family "tRNA". From Rfam's summary of the family: Transfer RNA (tRNA) molecules are approximately 80 nucleotides in length. Their secondary structure includes four short double-helical elements and three loops (D, anti-codon, and T loops). Lineage: Eukaryota; Metazoa; Chordata; Actinopteri; Myctophiformes; Myctophidae. The record is from RNAcentral. RNAcentral also lists the same sequence under 4 other names.
UAGGAAGUGGUGUAGUUGGAGGCACCAAGAGUUUUGAUCUCUUAAGGAGGGGUUCGAGCCCCCUCUUUCUAA